This 438-nucleotide ribosomal RNA is filed under the name uncultured bacterium. Its description in RNAcentral is "partial 16S ribosomal RNA". It matches the Rfam family "Bacterial small subunit ribosomal RNA", at positions 29 to 507 of the family's 1533-position model. The record is from RNAcentral.
AACGAACGCUGGCGGCAUGCCUAACACAUGCAAGUCGAACGAGACCUUCGGGUCUAGUGGCGCACGGGUGCGUAACGCGUGGGAACCUGCCCUUAGGUUCGGAAUAACUCCCCGAAAGGGGUGCUAAUACCGGAUAAUGUCUUCGGACCAAAGAUUUAGCGCCUUUGGAUGGGCCCGCGUUGGUUUAGCUAGUUGGUAGGGUAAAAGCCUACCAAGGCGAUGAUGGGGAGCUGGUCUGAGAGGAUGAUCGGCCACAUUGGGACUGAGAUACGGCUCAGACUCGUACGGGAGGCAGCAGUGGGGAAUAUUGUACAAUGGGCGGAAGCCUGAUGCAGCAACGCCGCGUGCGGGAUGAGGGCCUGCGGGUUGUAAACCGCUUUCGCCUGUGACGAAGAGUGAGUGACGGUAAGGGGUAAAGAAGCACCGGCUAACUACGUG